Molecule: ribosomal RNA, 482 nt
Filed under: uncultured bacterium
Lineage: Bacteria
Description: SSU rRNA
Rfam family: Bacterial small subunit ribosomal RNA
Source: RNAcentral
AGGACGAACGCUGGCGGCGUGCUUAACACAUGCAAGUCGAACGAAGUCCAUCCGGUAGCAAUACCGGUGAAGGCUUAGUGGCGAACGGGUGAGUAACACGUGAGCAACCUGCCCCGAAGACCGGGAUAACAGCGGGAAACCGCUGCUAAUACCGGAUGUCCCCACCGGACCGCAUGGUCUGGUGAGGAAAGCCUUUACGCUUCGGGAGGGACUCGCGGCCUAUCAGCUUGUUGGUGAGGUAACGGCCACCAAGGCGACGGCGGGUAGCUGGUCUGAGAGGACGAUCAGCCACACUGGGACUGAGACACGGCCCAGACUCCUACGGGAGGCAGCAGUGGGGAAUCUUGCGCAAUGGGCGAAAGCCUGACGCAGCAACGCCGCGUGCGGGAUGAAGGCCUUCGGGUUGUAAACCGCUUUCAAGCAGGGACGAUAAUGACGGUACCUGCAGAAGAAGCUCCGGCCAACUACGUGCCAGCAGCCGC